CUACCAUGCAAGUCGCACGAACCUUUCGGGGUUAGUGGCGGACGGGUGAGUAACGCGUUAGGAACCUAUCUGGAGGUGGGGGAUAACAUCGGGAAACUGGUGCUAAUACCGCAUGAUGCCUGAGGGCCAAAGGAGAGAUCCGCCAUUGGAGGGGCCUGCGUUCGAUUAGCUAGUUGGUUGGGUAAAGGCUGACCAAGGCGAUGAUCGAUAGCUGGUUUGAGAGGAUGAUCAGCCACACUGGGACUGAGACACGGCCCAGACUCCUACGGG
This 270-nucleotide ribosomal RNA is filed under the name Acetobacteraceae bacterium E03_37. RNAcentral's name for it is "partial 16S ribosomal RNA". It matches the Rfam family "Bacterial small subunit ribosomal RNA", at positions 54 to 345 of the family's 1533-position model. Lineage: Bacteria; Pseudomonadati; Pseudomonadota; Alphaproteobacteria; Acetobacterales; Acetobacteraceae. The record is from RNAcentral.